CCGUGAUAAUGUAGCGAAAUCAAUCGUCAUUUAAUUGAUGACCAGUAUGAAUGGUUAAACGAAUUUUCCACUGUCUCGAAAAUAAACCCAAUGAAAUUGUAAUUAUAGUGAAGAUACUAUAAGAUAAUUGUAAGACGAAAAGACCCUAUAGAGCUUAACUAGAUUCAUAUUAAUUUCAACCUUGACGCAAAUUCAAUUAAGUAUGAAAGCUAGUUUGGUUGGGGCGCCCAUCUUUUAUAAAAAACAAAGAUAAACAAAGGUUUAAAAAUUUAAAAUACUUUAUUGUUUAAUUCAUAAAUUUAACAAUUACUAAUGUAGGUAAUAAUGACCCGUUUAUUUUAUCAAAUAAAAAUAACGAUCAAUAAAUAAAAGCUACCUUAGGGAUAACAGCGUUAUCUUGUUUAAGAGUUCUUAUCGACAACAAG
This 425-nucleotide ribosomal RNA is filed under the name Scolionema suvaense. RNAcentral describes it as "partial 16S ribosomal RNA". It matches the Rfam family "Bacterial large subunit ribosomal RNA", at positions 1946 to 2515 of the family's 2925-position model. Lineage: Eukaryota; Metazoa; Cnidaria; Hydrozoa; Limnomedusae; Olindiidae. The record is from RNAcentral.